GUCGGACUGGCGGAAUGGCAGACGCGCUAGACUUAGGAUCUAGUAGGGUAACACCUGUGGGGGUUCAAGUCCCCCGUCCGACA
This 83-nucleotide transfer RNA is filed under the name Cyanobacteria bacterium UBA8530. Its description in RNAcentral is "tRNA-Leu". It matches the Rfam family "tRNA". From Rfam's summary of the family: Transfer RNA (tRNA) molecules are approximately 80 nucleotides in length. Their secondary structure includes four short double-helical elements and three loops (D, anti-codon, and T loops). Further hydrogen bonds mediate the characteristic L-shaped molecular structure. tRNAs have two regions of fundamental functional importance: the anti-codon, which is responsible for specific mRNA codon recognition, and the 3' end, to which the tRNAs corresponding amino acid is attached (by aminoacyl-tRNA synthetases). tRNAs cope with the degeneracy of the genetic code in two manners: having more than one tRNA (with a specific anti-codon) for a particular amino acid; and 'wobble' base-pairing, i.e. permitting non-standard base-pairing at the 3rd anti-codon position. Lineage: Bacteria; Bacillati; Cyanobacteriota. The record is from RNAcentral.